RNAcentral lists this microRNA precursor (96 nucleotides) under Canis lupus familiaris (dog). Its description in RNAcentral is "mir-8799 microRNA precursor family". It matches the Rfam family "mir-8799 microRNA precursor family". RNAcentral also lists the same sequence under 1 other name. The record is from Rfam by way of RNAcentral. Lineage: Eukaryota; Metazoa; Chordata; Mammalia; Carnivora; Canidae.
AGGGAGAGCGCUGGAACCUACGCUGUGUCCCCCAGCACCCUGGGCUCCUUGUGGUCCUGUGUUGCUGGAAUCGUGCUCCCGGCCGCGCAGCCCCCU